RNAcentral lists this transfer RNA (77 nucleotides) under Nitrospinota bacterium. Its description in RNAcentral is "tRNA-Asp". It matches the Rfam family "tRNA". Rfam says of the family: Transfer RNA (tRNA) molecules are approximately 80 nucleotides in length. Lineage: Bacteria; Pseudomonadati; Nitrospinota. The record is from RNAcentral.
GGGGCUGUAGUUCAGCUGGUUAGAACGCCGGCCUGUCACGUCGGAGGUCGCGAGUUCGAGUCUCGUCAGCCCCGCCA